Molecule: small RNA, 571 nt
Filed under: Arabidopsis thaliana (thale cress)
Lineage: Eukaryota; Viridiplantae; Streptophyta; Magnoliopsida; Brassicales; Brassicaceae
Description: ATSL200060
Source: RNAcentral
UAUGACUUAAAUGAGUUGAUGGGUCAAAUGAGUUAUUGGGUCAAUUGGUUUGAUGAAUAAAAUGAGUUGGGUUGUAAUGGUUAAUGGUUUCAAUGGUUACCCAACUAACGCAUCAAGUUUUGUAAAAUUGAAUUAAACCAACUAAAAUCUCUAAACCAAUGCCAAUGUAAGUUUAACCAUCACAUCUAAACCAAUUUAAUAAAAUCAAUAUUUUCCUAAAUUUCUUAAAUAUACAAGCGAUGAAAUUGAAAAGAAGUAAACUCGUAAUUUUUCCACCAAAAAAAAGUAAACCAGUGAUUUUCUCACCAAAAAACGUAAACCCGUAAUUUUCCCUCCAAAAACGUAAACCUGUAAUUUUCCCGCCAAAAAAAGUAAACCCGUGAUUUUACCGCCAAAAACGUAAAUCCGUAAUUUUUCCCGCCAAAAAAUGUAAACCUGUAAUUUUCCCGCCAAAAACGUAAACACAUGAUUUUCAUGCCAAAAACGUAAACCCGUAAUUAUGCCGCCAAAAACGUAAACCCGUAAAAAGUAGAAUCCGUAAAUAUCCUAAGUUUGAUGAUAAUAAAUUAAU